CCCUUAGAUGUCCUGGGCUGCACGCGUGCUACACUGAUGAAUUCAACGAGUUUAUCACCUUGGCCGAAAGGUCUGGGUAAUCUUUUGAAAUUUCAUCGUGCUGGGGAUAGAUCAUUGCAAUUAUUGAUCUUCAACGAGGAAUUCCUAGUAAGCGCAAGUCAUCAGCUUGCGUUGAUUACGUCCCUGCCCUUUGUACACACCGCCCGUCGCUCCUACCGAUUGGGUGUGCUGGUGAAAUGUUCGGAUCGGCCGUUUGUCGCGGUUUCCGCGUCAUGUGGCUGAGAAGUUCAUUAAACCCUCCCACCUAGAGGAAGGAGAAGUCGUAACA
RNAcentral lists this ribosomal RNA (328 nucleotides) under uncultured eukaryote. RNAcentral's name for it is "partial 18S ribosomal RNA". It matches the Rfam family "Eukaryotic small subunit ribosomal RNA", at positions 1470 to 1796 of the family's 1831-position model. The record is from RNAcentral.